Molecule: ribosomal RNA, 562 nt
Filed under: uncultured Alphaproteobacteria bacterium
Lineage: Bacteria; Pseudomonadati; Pseudomonadota; Alphaproteobacteria
Description: bacterial SSU rRNA
Rfam family: Bacterial small subunit ribosomal RNA
Source: RNAcentral
UCCUACGGGAGGCAGCAGUGGGGAAUCUUAGACAAUGGGCGCAAGCCUGAUCUAGCCAUGCCGCGUGAGUGAUGAAGGCCUUAGGGUCGUAAAGCUCUUUCGCCWGWGAAGAUAAUGACUGUACCMGGUAAAGAAACCCCGGCUAACUCCGUGCCAGCAGCCGCGGUAAUACGGAGGGGGUUAGCGUUGUUCGGAAUUACUGGGCGUAAAGCGCGCGUAGGCGGAUCAGCAAGUYAGGGGUGAAAUCCCGGGGCUCAACCCCGGAACUGCCUUUAAAACUGUUGGUCUUGAGUUCGAGAGAGGUGAGUGGAAUUCCGAGUGUAGAGGUGAAAUUCGUAGAUAUUCGGAGGAACACCAGUGGCGAAGGCGGCUCACUGGCUCGAUACUGACGCUGAGGUGCGAAAGUGUGGGGAGCAAACAGGAUUAGAUACCCUGGUAGUCCACACCGUAAACGAWRAAUGCCAGUCGUCGGGCAGUAUACUGUUCGGUGACACACCUAACGGAUUAAGCAUUCCGCCUGGGGAGUACGGUCGCAAGAUUAAAACUCAAAGGAAUUGACGGA